CUGGAGGUAUCAGAAGUGCGAAUGCUGACAUAAGUAACGAUAAAGCGGGUGAAAAGCCCGCUCGCCGGAAGACCAAGGGUUCCUGUCCAACGUUAAUCGGGGCAGGGUGAGUCGACCCCUAAGGCGAGGCCGAAAGGCGUAGUCGAUGGGAAACGGGUUAAUAUUCCCGUACUUGGUGUUACUGCGAAGGGGGGACGGAGAAGGCUAUGUUGGCCGGGCGACGGUUGUCCCGGUUUAAGCGUGUAGGUGUGUGUUCCAGGUAAAUCCGGUUCACUUUAACACUGAGGCGUGACGACGAGGCACUACGGUGCUGAAGCAACAAAUGCCCUGCUUCCAGGAAAAGCCUCUAAGCAUCAGGUAACAUCAAAUCGUACCCCAAACCGACACAGGUGGUCAGGUAGAGAAUACCAAGGCGCUUGAGAGAACUCGGGUGAAGGAACUAGGCAAAAUGGUGCCGUAACUUCGGGAGAAGGCACGCUGACAUGUAGGUGAAGUGAUUUACUCAUGGAGCUGAAGUCAGUCGAAGAUACCAGCUGGCUGCAACUGUUUAUUAAAAACACAGCACUGUGCAAACACGAAAGUGGACGUAUACGGUGUGACGCCUGCCCGGUGCCGGAAGGUUAAUUGAUGGGGUCAGCGCAAGCGAAGCUCCUGAUCGAAGCCCCGGUAAACGGCGGCCGUAACUAUAACGGUCCUAAGGUAGCGAAAUUCCUUGUCGGGUAAGUUCCGACCUGCACGAAUGGCGUAAUGAUGGCCAGGCUGUCUCCACCCGAGACUCAGUGAAAUUGAACUCGCUGUGAAGAUGCAGUGUACCCGCGGCAAGACGGAAAGACCCCGUGAACCUUUACUAUAGCUUGACACUGAACAUUGAGCCUUGAUGUGUAGGAUAGGUGGGAGGCUUUGAAGUGUGGACGCCAGUCUGCAUGGAGCCGACCUUGAAAUACCACCCUUUAAUGUUUGAUGUUCUAACGUGGACCCGUGAUCCGGGUUGCGGACAGUGUCUGGUGGGUAGUUUGACUGGGGCGGUCUCCUCCUAAAGAGUAACGGAGGAGCACGAAGGUUGGCUAAUCCUGGUCGGACAUCAGGAGGUUAGUGCAAUGGCAUAAGCCAGCUUGACUGCGAGCGUGACGGCGCGAGCAGGUGCGAAAGCAGGUCAUAGUGAUCCGGUGGUUCUGAAUGGAAGGGCCAUCGCUCAACGGAUAAAAGGUACUCCGGGGAUAACAGGCUGAUACCGCCCAAGAGUUCAUAUCGACGGCGGUGUUUGGCACCUCGAUGUCGGCUCAUCACAUCCUGGGGCUGAAGUAGGUCCCAAGGGUAUGGCUGUUCGCCAUUUAAAGUGGUACGCGAGCUGGGUUUAGAACGUCGUGAGACAGUUCGGUCCCUAUCUGCCGUGGGCGCUGGAGAACUGAGGGGGGCUGCUCCUAGUACGAGAGGACCGGAGUGGACGCAUCACUGGUGUUCGGGUUGUCAUGCCAAUGGCACUGCCCGGUAGCUAAAUGCGGAAGAGAUAAGUGCUGAAAGCAUCUAAGCACGAAACUUGCCCCGA
RNAcentral lists this ribosomal RNA (1546 nucleotides) under Salmonella enterica. RNAcentral describes it as "bacterial LSU rRNA". It matches the Rfam family "Bacterial large subunit ribosomal RNA", at positions 1273 to 2802 of the family's 2925-position model. RNAcentral also lists the same sequence under 2 other names. The record is from RNAcentral. Lineage: Bacteria; Pseudomonadati; Pseudomonadota; Gammaproteobacteria; Enterobacterales; Enterobacteriaceae.